AAGGAAUAAGCAUUUACACAGCACCUACUAAGUGCCAGGUUUCCUCCUAGUGAUUCUCCAAGAAAGAAUUAUUUAUGCAAAUAGUAGCUUCAAAUACUUCUCUUGAUUCGUUUGCACCUUCAGGUAUCUGUUGAGCAGGAACUAGCAAAUCCUGGCUGUUUUGGAGCUAUGUUUUGGCCAGCAAGAAGGAGAAGAAGAAGAAGAAGAAGAAGAAGAAGAAGAAGAAGAAGAAGAAGAAGAA
This is a long non-coding RNA of Phascolarctos cinereus (koala), 241 nucleotides long. RefSeq lists it as uncharacterized. The record is from RefSeq and is a predicted model, not a curated record. Lineage: Eukaryota; Metazoa; Chordata; Mammalia; Diprotodontia; Phascolarctidae.